GUAGGGGGCAAGCGUUGUCCGGAUUUAUUGGGCGUAAAGAGCGUGUAGGCGGCCAGGUAGGUCGGUUGUGAAAACUGGAGGCUUAACCUUCAGACGUCGACCGAAACCAUCUGGCUAGAGUCCGGAAGAGGAGAGUGGAAUUCCUGGUGUAGCGGUGAAAUGCGCAGAUAUCAGGAAGAACACCCGUGGCGAAGGCGGCUCUCUGGGACGGUACUGACGCUGAGACGCGAAAGCGUGGGGAGCGAACAGGAUUAGAUACCCUGGUAGUCCACGCCGUAAACGAUGAGUGCUAGGUGUGGGAGGUGUCGACUCCUUCCGUGCCGAAGCUAACGCAUUAAGCACUCCGCCUGGGGAGUACGGCCGCAAGGCUAAA
This 373-nucleotide ribosomal RNA is filed under the name uncultured bacterium. RNAcentral's name for it is "bacterial SSU rRNA". It matches the Rfam family "Bacterial small subunit ribosomal RNA", at positions 527 to 898 of the family's 1533-position model. The record is from RNAcentral.